This 362-nucleotide transfer RNA is filed under the name Microcystis sp. ArG02. RNAcentral describes it as "16S-23S ribosomal RNA intergenic spacer". The stretch from base 134 to 207 matches the Rfam family "tRNA". RNAcentral also lists the same sequence under 14 other names. Lineage: Bacteria; Bacillati; Cyanobacteriota; Cyanophyceae; Chroococcales; Microcystaceae. The record is from RNAcentral.
AAGGGAGACCUAAUUCAGGUAGGAGACGAAAAAAAGUAGUCCCUACCAAGAAUCAAUCCCAAAAGGUCGGAGCGAGGCAAAAUUGGCUUUCAAACUAGGUUCUGGGUUCACAUAAGACCUGAAUCAGGAACAAGGGCUAUUAGCUCAGGUGGUUAGAGCGCACCCCUGAUAAGGGUGAGGUCCCUGGUUCGAGUCCAGGAUGGCCCACCUGCACAGGUGGCAAAAACAAAGAAAAGAAGCUCCGAAUCAGCACCUUAUCUUACUCAUAUAGUAAGAGAGAAUGCUGGCUCUGAGUUCAGAGUCCAGAGGAACCUUGAAAACUGCAUAGAGCUAGGUGAAAAAGCCAAAAAAGAAGACCGCAA